Molecule: ribosomal RNA, 974 nt
Filed under: Tannerella sp.
Lineage: Bacteria; Pseudomonadati; Bacteroidota; Bacteroidia; Bacteroidales; Tannerellaceae
Description: bacterial SSU rRNA
Rfam family: Bacterial small subunit ribosomal RNA
Source: RNAcentral
ACAAUGAAGAGUUUGAUCCUGGCUCAGGAUGAACGCUAGCGACAGGCUUAACACAUGCAAGUCGAGGGGCAGCACGGAUGCAGCAAUGUAUUGGGUGGCGACCGGCGCACGGGUGAGUAACGCGUAUGCAACCUGCCCGCAACAGGAGGAUAACCCGUCGAAAGACGGCCUAAUACUCCGUAAAACAGGGGUCCCGCAUGGGAAUAUUUGUUAAAGAUUAAUCGGUUGCGGAUGGGCAUGCGUAACAUUAGGUAGUUGGAAGGGUAACGGCCUACCAAGCCGACGAUGUUUAGGGGUUCUGAGAGGAAGGUCCCCCACACUGGUACUGAGACACGGACCAGACUCCUACGGGAGGCAGCAGUGAGGAAUAUUGGUCAAUGGCCGCGAGGCUGAACCAGCCAAGUCGCGUGCAGGAAGAAGGCCCUACGGGUUGUAAACUGCUUUUACGGGGGAAUAAAGUGCUUCACGCGUGAAGUAUUGCAAGUACCCCGGGAAUAAGCAUCGGCUAACUCCGUGCCAGCAGCCGCGGUAAUACGGAGGAUGCAAGCGUUAUCCGGAUUUAUUGGGUUUAAAGGGUGCGUAGGUGGGCCUUUAAGUCAGUGGUGAAAUUUUGGUCGCUUAACGAUAAAACUGCCAUUGAAACUGGGGGUCUUGAGUAUGGAUGAAGUAGGCGGAAUGCGUGGUGUAGCGGUGAAAUGCUUAGAGAUCACGCAGAACUCCGAUUGCGAAGGCAGCUUACUAAGGCAAAACUGACACUGAAGCACGAAAGCGUGGGUAUCAAACAGGAUUAGAUACCCUGGUAGUCCACGCAGUAAACUAUGAUUACUGGGAGUUUGCGAUAAACGGUAAGCUCUAAAGCGAAAGCGUUAAGUAAUCCACCUGGGGAGUACGCCGGCAACGGUGAAACUCAAAGGAAUUGACGGGGGCCCGCACAAGCGGAGGAACAUGUGGUUUAAUUCGAUGAUACGCGAGGA